Molecule: ribosomal RNA, 490 nt
Filed under: uncultured bacterium
Lineage: Bacteria
Description: partial 16S ribosomal RNA
Rfam family: Bacterial small subunit ribosomal RNA
Source: RNAcentral
AUUGAACGCUGGCGGCAGGCUUAACACAUGCAAGUCGAGCGGUAGCACAGGGGAGCUUGCUCCCUGGGUGACGAGCGGCGGACGGGUGAGUAAUGUCUGGGAAACUGCCUGAUGGAGGGGGAUAACUACUGGAAACGGUAGCUAAUACCGCAUAACGUCGCAAGACCAAAGAGGGGGACCUUCGGGCCUCUUGCCAUCAGAUGUGCCCAGAUGGGAUUAGCUAGUAGGUGGGGUAAUGGCUCACCUAGGCGACGAUCCCUAGCUGGUCUGAGAGGAUGACCAGCCACACUGGAACUGAGACACGAUCCAGACUCCUACGGGAGGCAGCAGUGGGGAAUAUUGCACAAUGGGCGCAAGCCUGAUGCAGCCAUGCCGCGUGUGUGAAGAAGGCCUUCGGGUUGUAAAGCACUUUCAGCGAGGAGGAAGGUGGUGAGCUUAAUACGUUCAUCAAUUGACGUUACUCGCAGAAGAAGCACCGGCUAACUCCGUG